This 498-nucleotide ribosomal RNA is filed under the name uncultured Alphaproteobacteria bacterium. Its description in RNAcentral is "bacterial SSU rRNA". It matches the Rfam family "Bacterial small subunit ribosomal RNA", at positions 51 to 576 of the family's 1533-position model. Lineage: Bacteria; Pseudomonadati; Pseudomonadota; Alphaproteobacteria. The record is from RNAcentral.
ACACAUGCAAGUCGAACGAGGUCCGGAGCUUGCUCCGGGUGCCUAGUGGCGGACGGGUGAGUAACGCGUGGGAACCUGCCCUAGAGUGGGGAACAACCUUUGGAAACGAAGGCUAAUACCGCAUACGCUCUUUGGAGGAAAGGCUUCGGCCGCUCUUGGAUGGUCCCGCGUUAGAUUAGCUUGUUGGUGGGGUAACNGGCCUACCAAGGCGACGAUCUAUAGCUGGUCUGAGAGGAUGAUCAGCCACACUGGGACUGAGACACGGCCCAGACUCCUACGGGAGGCAGCAGUGGGGAAUAUUGGACAAUGGGGGAAACCCUGAUCCAGCAAUGCCGCGUGAGUGAAGAAGGCCUUAGGGUUGUAAAACUCUUUCACUGAUGAAGAUGAUGACGGUAAUCAGAGAAGAAGCCCCGGCUAACUCCGUGCCAGCANGCCCGCGGUAAUACGGANUGGGGCUAGCCGUUGUUCGGAUUUACUUGGGCGUAAAGCCGCACCGUU